CUCUUGCAGGAAUUGAACCCAGAAGGAUAUCAUCCUCAUCAAGAAUACGCACUACAAAUGGACAUUGAACAUGGUUCUGGGCCUCAAGAGCAAUGGAUGGUGUUUGGAAUACUGCAAGGGCCACUGUAUCAUUUACCCAGCGAAUGACAAAUCCACGACUUGCAAAGUCCUGGAAAAGCUUCUCAAGCUCUAUUGUCCUCGUACUUGGUGGAAAGUCAGAUAGAACAAGAACAUGGUGUGUGCCAUAUUUACAAUGUAUUGAUUCUAGAUUCUGUUGUUUACUUUUGCAUGAAUCAUCCUCCUCUUUGUCACUAGAAAAAGACGUAUAAGACUGCCGAUCACUAUAAAGUUUGUCUUCUUUGUAUGAGAAUGUUCCCCUUCCACGUCGCUUGGGGCCUUUAACUUUAUUUUCCUUCAAUGAAAGGUUUGAUACACUAGGUAAGCCUUGUGGGGAGAGUAAUUCAUUGGGAGCACGAUCUGCGAUAGCUUCCCAAUCAUCAUCUGAAGAUCCUUUGCAAGGAGAAGCAUCAUCAGGCAGUCUAAACGAUUCCUCAAGAUGCCCUUUUAUACAAGGCCCAUCAAUAACUGAAUCACUAGAAGAUAAAGCGGCAUUGGACUUUGAAUUUGACACCACAUCUUCGAUCAAGUGCUUCGUCACAUCUUCCGCACUAGAAGGGCGAGACUGAAGGGCGAGUUGUUUGAGGACCGAAGCGCGAGAGAGAAGCUCGUCGGAUUUGAGAGAGAAGUGCUUGGUGGAAUAGAGCUUGGACAAUUCAGUAAAGGCAGAAGCCAAUUGGAGAUCAAGCGUUUCAGAUCGGCUCAGGGUUUCAAGUUUUGAAACCACCGUUUCAAGGAGAGAGAUUGCGCCGUCUGUGUCCCCGGCUGUCACAAGAUCUUCAACUGACUCGCUCCAGUUUAGACUGGGUUGUUGUUCAAUAGCUUCGCCUUGUUCCAUUUAGGCAAAUUCAGUUAAAUUUGCGACUUCAAAUGGAGUAUGUAAGAGCGACAGGCAGCAAUUGAAUUCCAAGCACAAAACCACUUUUGGGAUUCUUCCGACAGGAGAACAGAAC
This 1070-nucleotide unclassified non-coding RNA is filed under the name Hevea brasiliensis (rubber tree). The record is from RNAcentral. Lineage: Eukaryota; Viridiplantae; Streptophyta; Magnoliopsida; Malpighiales; Euphorbiaceae.